UUGGAGGGCAAGUCUGGUGCCAGCAGCCGCGGUAAUUCCAGCUCCAAUAGCGUAUAUUAAAGUUGUUGCAGUUAAAAGCUCGUAGUUGAAUUUCGGGAUCAAUAUGCUGGUCGUGCCUUUGGUACGUACUGGUAUUAUUGGUUUCUCCUUUCUGAUGAAUCACGAUGUCAUUAAUUUGGUGUCAUGGGGAAUCAGGACUGUUACUUUGAAAAAUUAGAGUGUUUAAAGCAGGCUUACGCUUGAAUACAUUAGCAUGGAAUAAUGAAAUAGGACGUGUAAUUCUAUUUUGUUGGUUUCUAGGAUUGACGUAAUGAUUGAUAGGGAUAGUUGGGGGCAUUAGUAUUCAAUUGUCAGAGGUGAAAUUCUUGGAUUUAUUGAAGACUAACUACUGCGAAAGCAUUUGCCAAGGAUGUUUUCAUUAAUCAAGAACGAAAGUUAGGGGAUCGAAGACGAUCAGAUACCGUCGUAGUCUUAACCGUAAACUAUGCCGACUAGGGAUCGGAUGAUGUUAAUUAUGACUCA
This 522-nucleotide ribosomal RNA is filed under the name uncultured Glomeraceae. RNAcentral describes it as "SSU rRNA". It matches the Rfam family "Eukaryotic small subunit ribosomal RNA", at positions 548 to 1078 of the family's 1831-position model. Lineage: Eukaryota; Fungi; Glomeromycota; Glomeromycetes; Glomerales; Glomeraceae. The record is from RNAcentral.